ACUGAGCGGCGGACGGGUGAGUAACGCGUGGGUAACCUGCCUCAUACAGGGGGAUAACAGUUAGAAAUGACUGCUAAUACCGCAUAAGACCACAGGGCCGCAUGGUCCGGUGGUAAAAACUCCGGUGGUAUGAGAUGGACCCGCGUCUGAUUAGCUGGUUGGUGGGGUAACGGCCUACCAAGGCGACGAUCAGUAGCCGACCUGAGAGGGUGACCGGCCACAUUGGGACUGAGACACGGCCCAAACUCCUACGGGAGGCAGCAG
RNAcentral lists this ribosomal RNA (264 nucleotides) under uncultured bacterium. RNAcentral describes it as "partial 16S ribosomal RNA". It matches the Rfam family "Bacterial small subunit ribosomal RNA", at positions 90 to 354 of the family's 1533-position model. The record is from RNAcentral.